UACAGAGGUCCCAAGCGUUGUUCGGAUUCACUGGGCGUAAAGGGUGCGUAGGUGGUGAUGUAAGUUCGAUGUGAAAUCUCCGGGCUUAACCCGGAAACGGCAUUGAAUACUACAUUGCUUGAGGGUCGGAGGGGAGACUGGAAUUCUCGGUGUAGCAGUGAAAUGCGUAGAUAUCGAGAGGAACACCAGUGGCGAAAGCGAGUCUCUGGACGACACCUGACACUGAGGCACGAAAGCUAGGGGAU
This 245-nucleotide ribosomal RNA is filed under the name uncultured bacterium. RNAcentral's name for it is "partial 16S ribosomal RNA". It matches the Rfam family "Bacterial small subunit ribosomal RNA", at positions 524 to 768 of the family's 1533-position model. The record is from RNAcentral.